Melopsittacus undulatus (budgerigar) is the source of this 3069-nucleotide long non-coding RNA. RefSeq lists it as uncharacterized. NCBI's taxonomy places the organism in Eukaryota, Metazoa, Chordata, Aves, Psittaciformes, Psittaculidae. The transcript is spliced from 3 exons. The record is from RefSeq and is a predicted model, not a curated record.
CUACAUUCCUUGGGAUGAGUGGCUGGAAAGCUGCUUGGUGGAAGAGGACCUGACUUAUAUAAGAAAUAGUGUGGACAGCAAGAAUAGGGAAGUGACUGCUCCUCUGUACUUGGCACUGCCUCUACCAUGAUCGAUUUUUUACUGGAGUGUGGGUUUGAACAGGAAUUUUAAAUAUGUGGGAAGACCCUUUUCACCCUCAAACAGUCUGAUACUGCCAUCCUUCCUGCAGAGGCAAAAUCAUUGUAUCCUCGUCAGCUCCACUGUCUGCAAGAGAGAAGGAAAGCUAUUUCAAUGUAUAGCAUGCAUUUGACAGAUGACUGAAUGAAAAGGUUGAAGGUAAUGUGUGAUAUGAAUUGUAUUGCAGUGGCCCUGAGAACAUACCAAAGAAAGGCUGAAAUUAACAAAGUAUAUUAGAACCUGCACAAGGUGUUUUCUCUUAUUAAUCACGUUUUUUAAUAAGUCUAUUGAAGCAGAGAACUGAAGGAAUUAUGAAGUCAAAGCCAGCAUCACUCCACUGUCUGCUUUUACCACUUCAGUUCCACAGGACUGAGAUUUGUAUUGCUGCUUCUGUAAAUUGCAGGUCACGCUUCUAGCUAGUGUGAGAUGGGGUGGUGGUGUUGGUGUUGAAACACACAGGAAUUAAUACAGAAUGCCACAGACUAUUGAGAGGAUUGGAGGGCAUGACAGCAUCUAAACCUGUGUUUACUUCUGCAAUGUACAGUACAUUAAUGCAUUUAAUUGGAAUAUUAUGAAGCUUAUGGCAAUUAGUAAGCCUCCUUGAGAAACCUGGAUGCAAUACACCAUAGAAUGAUGUAACAAUGAUCUCUUUACUUGAUUAAAAAGUGAUUACUUUUACAGGAGUUUAAUUGUACAUGAAAACCUUAUAGCCAGUGCCAGCAGAGAUCAUUGCCCAGAGAUCUUGCUGUUUUAUAAACCAACAAUUCAAAUGCUGUAUUGAUAAGCCAAAUUUAUAUUAAUCAGAUGUGUAGUCAAGGACUUAAAAUAUCCUUAGUCAUGUGUAAAUUAAUACUUUUAAAAGAAACAUUGUGUUCUAAGAACUAUUAAUCUUUUUAGUAUCUUUUUUCUAGUUGGAAGGGGAAAGGUAAUGCAUACAACUGGAAUUUCCAACUGAAAUUUUGAAAUCGAGGUUCUGCGUGUGAUAUGGAACCUGAACCAGUCAUCUCUCCAUGCACACCUACCAGACACGCCAAAAACUCACAACAAAACAACAAAAAAAGAUCCACCCUCCCAAAACAUCCCAAACCAACCAACCAAAAAACCAACCACAACUAAAAAAUAACCCAGACUGCUUUGCUCGUCAAUUUUUUUAACACCAUGGCUUCCAUUGAACUGCCUGCUGUGAUGGGAUUGUGGCCUUUAGGGGAGCAUAUCACUGAUUGGUACAAUUUUAUAACAAAUAGACAUGCUUCUUGAAUGGCAUUUGUUGGAGGUGUUCCAGGCACUUUAUAGAACUACAGAAGUAGACAAUUCUGUGGUCACUGACACUUUCAUUACUUGCUUUUUGCCAUGUAUCUGGUUUUCAUCCUUAAAUUUUUGUCUGCAUUCAGUGUGUCAUCCUUAAAGCAAAAAGCCUGGAAAAACUUAUCAGGAAGAGCUGUUCUUGCUCCUCACAUGUUGAGAUUUUUUUUCUCAGUGGAUACUACUGCUUCUUAGCCUCUUGUAUAUUUAUCCAAGUCUUCACAGAACUCACUUCUGAUUUAUUGUUCUUCCUGGAAAGACAGAGGGAUUUUCUGUCCUCUUGAUGCUUGACUUCUAGUACCUUUACGGUUGAGGUUAAGGAAAAAGUGUACCUUCUCCUGCAAUCAAAAUGCUGUACUGUUGCCUUGGGGGAAUAAUUAGUUGAUAUUCUCCAAUACCUUUUCCUGCAACAAUGUAUGUGCACGGAAUACAUGUGUCUGAUGAUCUGGUUGUUGAGGUACAGCCACACCUGUAGCACAUUUGGGAGUGAUACAGAGGUCUCAUCUCCAGCCAAUCCGGAAUCAUAGUCCAAGUGACUGGAUCCUGUUUACAGUGCCAUGGACUGAGACAACCUUUGGCACAAGUUUGGACAGAAUUCUGGAGUCAUGCUUUUUAACUAUGUCUUUUGCAAUCCCACCACCUGACCUGACACCCUGGUCAUGGAGUGCUCAUUGCAUGUUGUCUAUGCAGUUUGGGGUAAUUUGACUCUUAUUUCUUCCACAACCAUUCUCGAAGCCACAAGUCUGUGGGCUACUUUAUUUCCCUGUUGUGACAGUGUUAGGCACACAAGUCAUCAGGUUUAACUAGUGAGGGCUUCCAGUGGUGACCUGUUUGAGUAGGCCUUGAACUGCUCCAUGCUGGUCACCACUGCUGCCAGCCAGCUCUGAGGCAGCUGGAACCAACCGUGGCAACCCAUCAUGGGUCACAACCUCAGCCAGAGUGCAUGGUAUCCCUGCUUAAGCAUAUUUAAACAAGAAAUAUUUCUUAAUGAAGAAACUGCUUGUGCCACCUAGACCUCCUGUGCUGCGCAUCACCUCAAGGGGUAAUUCUGACUGACUAUAACUCACUGAAAAUAAGGCAAGCUGAGACUGGGGAAUGGACAGAAAAAUGUUUUAUGUAAAGAAAAAAAACCCACCAUCACAUUAUGUUUGUGUAUCUGUGUGCUUUUUCUCAAUGCACAAAUUAGUGUUCAGAAAUGUAUUAUUUAGUAACAAAUGAAAUAAAUUCCUUGACUUGAGUGUUUUUUCUGGUGAUAGGCAGAAAGGUUAAAGCUGGUAAACUUGUUUUAAAAGCAUGCUCCCAGAUCACAAACCUCUGAAAAUGAGUGUUGGAUGCUUAGAGGAGCUUUAUGAGCAUGCUUUUGUUAAACAGCUACUCUGAUCUUGCUUAUUCAGUCUUUAAAUUAAUGUGUAAAAGAUGCCCAUAAGCAACCAGCAGCUGAAUUGACUGUUAUUAGAUGGAUUAUUACUAUUACUCAGCCUAACAAGUUGCUAUAUGUUUUGUGUACUCAAGCAAAUUUUGCUGUGCAGGCAAGUGGAAUGAUACACACAUGGGCUAACAUAAAAUCCCUCAAAAUAUCCCAGGAUUAGA